UACGGAGGGAGCUAGCGUUGUUCGGAAUUAUUGGGCGUAAAGAGCGCGUAGGCGGUCCGAUAAGUCGGCUGUGAAAGUCCAGGGCUCAACCCUGGAAAGCCGGCCGAUACUGUCGGACUAGAGUCCGGAAGAGGCAAGUGGAAUUUCCAGUGGAGCGGUGAAAUGCGUAGAGAUUGGAAAGAACACCGAUGGCGAAGGCACUUUACUGGGCUAUUACUAACACUGAGAGACGAAAGCUAGGGUAGCAAAUGGG
RNAcentral lists this ribosomal RNA (253 nucleotides) under uncultured bacterium. Its description in RNAcentral is "partial 16S ribosomal RNA". It matches the Rfam family "Bacterial small subunit ribosomal RNA", at positions 524 to 776 of the family's 1533-position model. The record is from RNAcentral.